Long non-coding RNA from Balaenoptera acutorostrata (minke whale), 415 nucleotides. RefSeq lists it as uncharacterized. The record is from RefSeq and is a predicted model, not a curated record. NCBI's taxonomy places the organism in Eukaryota, Metazoa, Chordata, Mammalia, Artiodactyla, Balaenopteridae. The transcript has 4 exons.
CAUCUACAAGCCAGGAAGGAGUUUCACUGGAAACUGACCAUGCUGGCAUGAUGAUCUUGGACUUUCAAACUCCAGAAUGGUCUCUGAAGGGGGUGCUUCCUCUCCCACUGUCGCCCAGACGCACCAGCUUCCUGAGGGUAGUGACCAUCCUGGUGCCACCACGCUUUCCAAAAAAUUAGCCCUUUGUGGUGAAAUUUUCCAUGCUUGGUUUCAGCCCAAAGGUUUCUGGGCUCAAAUGAAGAACCAAGUAUAAGGCACCAAAACACUUUUGCAAGGAUGUGAAGAUUAAGAAAAAUCCAAUUUUCCUGGUUUUCAAGUGUGCAGGCUUAAAGGACAAAGAGAAGGAAAUCUGCUCCGAUAAACAUUUCUAUUUCUUUUUCAUUUUCAGCAUCUCUCUCUCUGCAUGGGUUAUUCC